GGUGGCUCAGUGGUAGAGUGCUUGCCUUGCAUGCAUGAGGCCCUGGAUUCGAUCCUUCAGCACCA
Molecule: transfer RNA, 65 nt
Filed under: Dipodomys ordii (Ord's kangaroo rat)
Lineage: Eukaryota; Metazoa; Chordata; Mammalia; Rodentia; Heteromyidae
Rfam family: tRNA
About the family: Transfer RNA (tRNA) molecules are approximately 80 nucleotides in length. Their secondary structure includes four short double-helical elements and three loops (D, anti-codon, and T loops).
Source: Rfam by way of RNAcentral